Eutrema salsugineum is the source of this 392-nucleotide RNA transcript. It is a transcript of the gene named putative defensin-like protein 257, with no coding region annotated. NCBI's taxonomy places the organism in Eukaryota, Viridiplantae, Streptophyta, Magnoliopsida, Brassicales, Brassicaceae. The record is from RefSeq and is a predicted model, not a curated record. The transcript is spliced from 2 exons.
CGAAUCAGCAAACUUCCACAAAACUAAAAACACUUCAUAGUUGAAAUAUCUAAACAAAACUUGAAAAUGAAGAACGUUUCUUUUAAGCUUCCACUCUUGAUUUUCAUUUUGGUCAUCACAUCUAAAGAUCUUAGAGCAGAAGCAAGAAAGCUAACUGGAGUCGAACUUAUCGCCGGAAGCUCAAGUUAUGCCGGCACCGGCAUGAAAAUGGAGGAUUCGUUCACUCCACUUCCAACUUGCAAGAUCGACUACGAUUGUACCUUAAGAUGUCCAAAGGGAGGAUUAUGCAAUCGUCGCUUUGGCACAUGUAAUUGCUUCUAAGUACUUAAUCGCGCUUUAAUCUAAUUUUAUCGAAUAUAAACUCAAGAUUAAUAAAAAUCAUAUGCUUGAAA